CGAUCCCCUAUGAUCCCAUCGCCGCCGAUCUCGCCCUGGAUCCACUCUCCUCUGGUUGCCCCACCGCGGACCUCCCCUCCGACGCCGGGGCCACGCGCCGCCCCACCUGUCCAGCCCCGCCCCGGAUCUCCCUGUCGUUGGUGCCCUGCCCCACCUCUCUCACCCAGCCUAUACUCCCUGCCGCCGGUGCCCCACUCGCAGCCGCCCUGUCAACGCAGGCGCCGCCGCCGCCAACCGCGCAAGCCGCCCUCCUUAGCCCGGCUGUCACUCCCCGACCUCGACGCGGCCGCAUCUCCUGCCCCUCCCCCCGCCCGACGAGCCUCCCGUCGCCCUUCAUCCCCGACGUGCCUCUGCGUGGUCGGACCUCCACAUGCAGAGGAGAUCCCAUUCUUCUGCAGGUCAACUGCGCCUCCCGUGGACGGUCAUCUCCACUGGAGCCAUUGCAUCAUCCCACCUCCCAGCGCUCAGGCCGUUCGCCGCUGCCAAAUCCGGCUGUUCAACGAUGUAGCACCAGGAGGUCCAGCGCCUCAACCCCUCCGAAUCCCAUGAAAAAACAGCCAGCAGAAGUCCGUUCAGCAGUGGCGAGGCCGUUCAGUGACGCGAACCAAGGUCGUUCACUGGAUCGGGGUCAUCCCGUCGAUCCCCUCUUCGGCGCGCGCUGCUCGGCCUCCCACCAUGCAAGUCCACCGCUCGUUGCGUGCUGCCACUGUCGGGGCCGGCGAGACCCACCCGCCCACCUCCUGUCCCCGCCUGUGGCCGCUUAUGAAGUCCAGCCUGACUAGCCUAUUCACUAUCCCUGGAUACUGCCAAGCUGCACCAACACUUUUAGUUCCUAUUCCUCUCAGACUCGGUGUGCUCUACGGACGGGGAGGCAUGGAGCUGUCGACUAGUAUGGGAGGCGAGCUGCUACUGCGUUUUAGGCGACCUGUGAAGUGGUUAGUGAGUAGAGUGGUCGCUGCAUCCUGGGAGUAUGAGCUCAAAUCUUGGUCCGGUCUUUGCUAUUUGAACACAUGAUAUUACUCACCAGUUCAAGUGUACCUGCAGAUGGGAGAGAGCUCUAUGAGAUUUUGCAAGAACAAGACCGCAAUUUUAUAAAUUUGUCACUUGUUUAAAUAUUGGAUUUGGAGAUGGGGAGGCAGUCCAGCACCCAGUUCGGUGCUCUGGGAGAAACUGAAGAGCUUCCUGGGUAUAAACAAGCAGAGAAGCUUCAAUUUCCUGUCCAUGGAGAAGCAUCAGAGUUUCGAGGGGAGGAGGAGCAGGGACAACCCUGGAAAGAAGAGGGUGAUAGCGCACCACCUCGCGGCAAGGACCGGCAAUAUCUGCCAUGUUCGACAAAUGGUGCAGUUGUUCCGUUUGCCUCAUUCAAUUUGGUCCAUAGACUGUUGCCAUUUGAUAUAAGUGACAAAGAACAACUUAAACAGAAGAAACUAUUGUUGUUGUUCAGUACAGAGUACUACCGAACAUCAAGCUCAAUCUUGCCCGCUUUGAUGCUAUGUACGAGUGGAUAAGAUAGACACUGUGUUUGAUGCUAUGGAACAAUGGAUAAGGUGGAUAAGGUGGCUAAUAAAUUUUUUGGGAGAUGGAUAAUAAAGGUGUGUGGUAGAAAACCACUCGUACACUUCUUUUAGGAAAAAAAAGGGUACACAAAAAUUAUACUUUGUUCAUUGCAUAUACACGUACUCUGAUUCAAUUUGAUAUUUGGACUA
RNA transcript from Triticum dicoccoides, 1706 nucleotides. It is a transcript of the gene named proline-rich protein 36-like, with no coding region annotated. The record is from RefSeq and is a predicted model, not a curated record. NCBI's taxonomy places the organism in Eukaryota, Viridiplantae, Streptophyta, Magnoliopsida, Poales, Poaceae. The transcript is spliced from 3 exons.